UACGAAGGGGGCUAGCGUUGCUCGGAAUCACUGGGCGUAAAGCGCACGUCGGCGGCUUUUUAAGUCAGGGGUGAAAUCCUGGAGCUCAACUCCAGAACUGCCUUUGAUACUGAGAAGCUUGAGUCCGGGAGAGGUGAGUGGAACUGCGAGUGUAGAGGUGAAAUUCGUAGAUAUUCGGAGGAACACCAGUGGCGAAGGCGGCUCACUGGCUCGGUACUGACGCUGAGGUGCGAAAGCGUGGGGAGCAAACAGG
RNAcentral lists this ribosomal RNA (253 nucleotides) under uncultured bacterium. RNAcentral's name for it is "partial 16S ribosomal RNA". It matches the Rfam family "Bacterial small subunit ribosomal RNA", at positions 524 to 776 of the family's 1533-position model. The record is from RNAcentral.